RNAcentral lists this ribosomal RNA (250 nucleotides) under uncultured bacterium. RNAcentral's name for it is "partial 16S ribosomal RNA". It matches the Rfam family "Bacterial small subunit ribosomal RNA", at positions 524 to 773 of the family's 1533-position model. The record is from RNAcentral.
UACAGAGGUCUCAAGCGUUGUUCGGAUUCAUUGGGCGUAAAGGGUGCGUAGGCGGCGCCGUAAGUCUGGUGUGAAAUCCCGGAGCUCAACUCCGGAAUUGCACUGGAUACUGCGGUGCUCGAGGACUGGAGAGGAGACUGGAAUUCACGGUGUAGCAGUGAAAUGCGUAGAUAUCGUGAGGAAGACCGGUGGCGAAGGCGGGUCUCUGGACAGUUCCUGACGCUGAGGCACGAAGGCCAGGGGAGCAAAC